AUUGAACGCUGGCGGCAGGCUUAACACAUGCAAGUCGAGCGGGGUGAUGGUGCUUGCACUAUCACUUAGCGGCGGACGGGUGAGUAAUGCUUAGGAAUCUGCCUAUUAGUGGGGGACAACAUCUCGAAAGGGAUGCUAAUACCGCAUACGUCCUACGGGAGAAAGCAGGGGAUCACUUGUGACCUUGCGCUAAUAGAUGAGCCUAAGUCGGAUUAGCUAGUUGGUGGGGUAAAGGCCUACCAAGGCGACGAUCUGUAGCGGGUCUGAGAGGAUGAUCCGCCACACUGGGACAGGGACACGGCCCAGACUCCUACGGGAGGCAGCAGUGGGGAAUAUUGGACAAGGGGGGGAACCCUGAUCCAGCCAUGCCGCGUGUGUGAAGAAGGCCUUAUGGUUGUAAAGCACUUUAAGCGAGGAGGAGGCUCUUUUGGUUAAUACCCAAGAUGAGUGGACGUUACUCGCAGAAUAAGCACCGGCUAACUCUGUGCCAGCCGCCGCAGUAA
This 503-nucleotide ribosomal RNA is filed under the name uncultured bacterium. RNAcentral describes it as "partial 16S ribosomal RNA". It matches the Rfam family "Bacterial small subunit ribosomal RNA", at positions 30 to 523 of the family's 1533-position model. The record is from RNAcentral.